GGAGAGAUGGCCGAGUGGUCGAAGGCGCUUGACUCGAAAUCAAGUGUACCCCCCGGGUACCUAGGGUUCGAAUCCCUAUCUCUCCG
This 86-nucleotide transfer RNA is filed under the name Geobacter pickeringii. It matches the Rfam family "tRNA". Rfam says of the family: Transfer RNA (tRNA) molecules are approximately 80 nucleotides in length. Their secondary structure includes four short double-helical elements and three loops (D, anti-codon, and T loops). Lineage: Bacteria; Pseudomonadati; Thermodesulfobacteriota; Desulfuromonadia; Geobacterales; Geobacteraceae. The record is from Rfam by way of RNAcentral.